RNAcentral lists this ribosomal RNA (433 nucleotides) under uncultured bacterium. Its description in RNAcentral is "partial 16S ribosomal RNA". It matches the Rfam family "Bacterial small subunit ribosomal RNA", at positions 29 to 507 of the family's 1533-position model. The record is from RNAcentral.
AGCGAACGCUGGCGGCAGGCCUAACACAUGCAAGUCGAACGAACUCUUCGGAGUUAGUGGCGGACGGGUGAGUAACACGUGGGAACGUGCCUUUUGGUUCGGAAUAACUCAGGGAAACUUGUGCUAAUACCGAAUGUGCCCUUCGGGGGAAAGAUUUAUCGCCAUUAGAGCGGCCCGCGUCUGAUUAGCUAGUUGGUGAGGUAACGGCGCACCAAGGCGACGAUCAGUAGCUGGUCUGAGAGGAUGACCAGCCACACUGGGACUGAGACACGGCCCAGACUCCUACGGGAGGCAGCAGUGGGGAAUCUUGCGCAAUGGGCGAAAGCCUGACGCAGCCAUGCCGCGUGAAUGAUGAAGGUCUUAGGAUUGUAAAAUUCUUUCACCGGGGACGAUAAUGACGGUACCCGGAGAAGAAGCCCCGGCUAACUUCGUG